Molecule: transfer RNA, 76 nt
Filed under: Erwinia phage SunLIRen
Lineage: Duplodnaviria; Heunggongvirae; Uroviricota; Caudoviricetes; Andersonviridae
Description: tRNA-Gly
Rfam family: tRNA
About the family: Transfer RNA (tRNA) molecules are approximately 80 nucleotides in length. Their secondary structure includes four short double-helical elements and three loops (D, anti-codon, and T loops).
Source: RNAcentral
GCAAGUAUGAUGUCAAUUGGUAACAUGGCGUCCUUCCAAGUCGCUCUUACGGGUUCGAAUCCCGUUACUUGCUCCA